RNAcentral lists this ribosomal RNA (472 nucleotides) under Veillonella parvula. RNAcentral describes it as "bacterial SSU rRNA". It matches the Rfam family "Bacterial small subunit ribosomal RNA", at positions 28 to 477 of the family's 1533-position model. The record is from RNAcentral. Lineage: Bacteria; Bacillati; Bacillota; Negativicutes; Veillonellales; Veillonellaceae.
GACGAACGCUGGCGGCGUGCUUAACACAUGCAAGUCGAACGAAGAGCGAUGGAAGCUUGCUUCUAUCAAUCUUAGUGGCGAACGGGUGAGUAACGCGUAAUCAACCUGCCCUUCAGAGGGGGACAACAGUUGGAAACGACUGCUAAUACCGCAUACGAUCUAAUCUCGGCAUCGAGGAUAGAUGAAAGGUGGCCUCUACAUGUAAGCUAUCACUGAAGGAGGGGAUUGCGUCUGAUUAGCUAGUUGGAGGGGUAACGGCCCACCAAGGCGAUGAUCAGUAGCCGGUCUGAGAGGAUGAACGGCCACAUUGGGACUGAGACACGGCCCAGACUCCUACGGGAGGCAGCAGUGGGGAAUCUUCCGCAAUGGACGAAAGUCUGACGGAGCAACGCCGCGUGAGUGAUGACGGCCUUCGGGUUGUAAAGCUCUGUUAAUCGGGACGAAAGGCCUUCUUGCGAACAGUUAGAAGGAU